Molecule: ribosomal RNA, 465 nt
Filed under: Vreelandella stevensii
Lineage: Bacteria; Pseudomonadati; Pseudomonadota; Gammaproteobacteria; Oceanospirillales; Halomonadaceae
Description: partial 16S ribosomal RNA
Rfam family: Bacterial small subunit ribosomal RNA
Source: RNAcentral
CCUACGGGGGGCAGCAGUGGGGAAUAUUGGACAAUGGGGGGAACCCUGAUCCAGCCAUGCCGCGUGUGUGAAGAAGGCCCUCGGGUUGUAAAACACUUUCAGUGAGGAAGAACGCCUGGUGGUUAAUACCCAUCAGGAAAGACAUCACUCACAGAAGAAGCACCGGCUAACUCCGUGCCAGCAGCCGCGGUAAUACGGAGGGUGCGAGCGUUAAUCGGAAUUACUGGGCGUAAAGCGCGCGUAGGUGGCUUGAUAAGCCGGUUGUGAAAGCCCCGGGCUCAACCUGGGAACGGCAUCCGGAACUGUCAAGCUAGAGUGCAGGAGAGGAAGGUAGAAUUCCCGGUGUAGCGGUGAAAUGCGUAGAGAUCGGGAGGAAUACCAGUGGCGAAGGCGGCCUUCUGGACUGACACUGACAUUGAGGUGCGAAAGCGUGGGUAGCAAACAGGAUUAGAUACCCCUGUAGUC